UGGGGAAUCUUGCACAAUGGGGGAAACCCUGAUGCAGCGACGCCGCGUGAGCGAUGAAGGUUUUCGAAUCGUAAAGCUCUGUCCUAUGGGAAGAUAAUGACGGUACCAUAGGAGGAAGCCCCGGCUAACUACGUGCCAGCAGCCGCGGUAAUACGUAGGGGGCGAGCGUUGUCCGGAAUUACUGGGCGUAAAGGGUUCGCAGGCGGCAUGACAAGUCGGAUGUAAAAGGCGAAAGCUCAACUUUCGUAAGCAUCGGAAACUGUCAAGCUUGAGUGAAGGAGAGGCAAGUGGAAUUCCUAGUGUAGCGGUGGAAUGCGUAGAUAUUAGGAGGAAUACCGGUGGCGAAGGCGACUUGCUGGACUUCAACUGACGCUGAGGAACGAAAGCGUGGGUAGCAAACAGG
This 403-nucleotide ribosomal RNA is filed under the name bacterium. Its description in RNAcentral is "partial 16S ribosomal RNA". It matches the Rfam family "Bacterial small subunit ribosomal RNA", at positions 355 to 776 of the family's 1533-position model. The record is from RNAcentral.